RNAcentral lists this ribosomal RNA (301 nucleotides) under uncultured bacterium. RNAcentral describes it as "partial 16S ribosomal RNA". It matches the Rfam family "Bacterial small subunit ribosomal RNA", at positions 509 to 807 of the family's 1533-position model. The record is from RNAcentral.
CAGUAGCCGCGGGAAUACGAAGGGGGCUAGCGUUGCUCGGAAUGACUGGGCGUAAAGGGCGCGUAGGCGGAUGGCAUAGUCAGGCGUGAAAUUCCUGGGCUCAACCUGGGGACGGCGCUUGAUACGUGUUGUCUAGAGUGGGGAAGAGGGUUGUGGAAUUCCCAGUGUAGAGGUGAAAUUCGUAGAUAUUGGGAAGAACACCGGUGGCGAAGGCGGCAACCUGGUCCUUGACUGACGCUGAGGCGCGAAAGCGUGGGGAGCAAACAGGAUUAGAUACCCGCGUAGUCCCUGUCUCUUAUAC